UCGGAGGUUAUGGGCUUUUUAAUACGAAUUAGGCAACUCACCGAGGCUUUAAAAGGGCCAAGCGGCCGCACAUGAUUCAUUACACGCCAAAAUGUGGCCAAGGUUCCUUUUCCUCACCGUGCUCUUCCUUGUGGUUGUGACUGUCCUCGCCGGGUCAGUCAACAUCGGCAACCAGGGAACGGACAUCAUAGCCAGCCUGACCCACGGGUUGAGGUGCCAGAGGUGCUACUUCCGGAACAGCCGUGGCGAGUGCGAGGCGAACUGGGCCUGUCUCUUUGGCAGUCGGUUAGCAUGAAUGUGUGUAAGACUUUUUGCAACACCAUGAGCAGACCAUUAUCCAGCUCUGAGGAGAAGCUAGGUGGGUGGUCUCAUCGCCGCCUCAGCACUUGAGAACACACGCACAAGAGCGUGAUAGUGAAUCAUUGAUGAUUGCAAUCCCCCUACUCUGUCUACAUGCAUAUGAAUUUAGUUUAUUAAUGUUCACACACACACACACAUAUGUGUGUGUGUGUCUAUACAUGUAUGCAUAUCCAUUGUUUUACCUGUUUAUUCAUCUCUUCUUGCUACACUAGACAUACUUAUGUCGUGUUGUCUUCCCUCUUUCGAAAGAGCUAUGUAUUGCUGUAACUCUUCCUUCUUCAUCACCGGUUGUCACAUGUUAAAUACGUGACUUAUAACUAUCCUUAAAAGAAUGUAGGAGAUGACAGUCAGACUGCCUGCGAGGAGCCAAGGAGCAAAUCUCACUACAAGGAGGAGCAACCUCAUUCCAUCAUUAAUCUUCAAUAAAGGAAUCAAGACACCUUGUUUGUGUGCCAGCCAUUCGCCGUACUAUUGUAGGGUCCACCUCCCUGGCCCCUACAACUGGUGGCUUAACGGUGAAACUGAACUCGCACAACGCCUCCGAAAUUUCUUGGUCCUCACUAAUGCCCUUCCCUGCCAAGCGCCCAAUACUUCGUCAUGCUGUGAUCCACUCCUGCUGAAAUGUCCCCAUGCGGAUUCAUCCAGGCAGCCACGCAUAUGCAGGAAACAACAUUCCGGUAGCCAGUGGCGCCAUGACCUUGCUCGCAGUGCGGCCCGCUCUCUGCCUCGUCAGCCGCGCGUCUCUCCAGCCUCUCCUCACCUCAUACCACAUCGUCAAAAUUUAAGAAAAAGAAAUCGGUGAUUAAUGCCAAAUUAAAAAAUAUAUAUAUUUCUCAUGUGUUUGACACGUAACCUCGACUCAUGUAAUUGUACACUAAAGUUAUUUUCUUGUAUUUUGUGUUCAGAUGUCAGUUACAUACAGGUAUUCCUUUCAUGAGACUUGAAGAUAAUUUGCCUUCAGCGCCGCCGCAAACAUACAACUAAUAAACGCUUUUUGAUAACUGUGCUAUUGUUUCUUCCUUAUGUACUUUCCUGCUGUUCUUACACCAGCUUUUAGAUAAUUAUGAAGGUGACGAUCAUUUUAAGCCCAGCUUUAUCUACAUCAUAUUAAUGAAUUAUGUAUGCUGAUGUUAUUCAAUGUAUCUGUUGUUAUAUUCUACAUAACUUGAAUAGUUCUUAUAUGUUGUCUCAUGCAUAUAUUCAUAGUUAUUCUUAGACCACUGUGCGGGGACCCAAGGAUCAACACCUUACUCCUUGGCGGAGUUGCCUCACUCCAGCAUUACUCUUCAAUAAAGGAGUCGAGACAC
Long non-coding RNA from Penaeus monodon (black tiger shrimp), 1667 nucleotides. RefSeq lists it as uncharacterized. The transcript is spliced from 3 exons. NCBI's taxonomy places the organism in Eukaryota, Metazoa, Arthropoda, Malacostraca, Decapoda, Penaeidae. The record is from RefSeq and is a predicted model, not a curated record.